GGUUAAGUUAGAAAGGGCGCACGGUGGAUGCCUUGGCACUAGGAGCCGAAGAAGGACGGGACUAACACCGAUAUGCUUUGGGGAGCUGUACGUAAGCGUUGAUCCAGAGAUUUCCGAAUGGGGGAACCCACUAUCUUUAGUCGGAUAGUAUCCUUACGUGAAUACAUAGCGUGAGGAAGGCAGACCCAGGGAACUGAAACAUCUAAGUACCUGGAGGAAGAGAAAGAAAAAUCGAUUUCCUGAGUAGCGGCGAGCGAAACGGAAAGAGCCCAAACCAAGAAGCUUGCUUCUUGGGGUUGUAGGACACUCUAUACGGAGUUACAAAAGAAAGUUAUAAAUGAAGCGGUCUGGAAAGGCCCGCCAAAGACGGUAACAGCCCGGUAGUUGAAAUAGCUUUCCCUCCAGAGUGGAUCCUGAGUACGGCGGAACACGUGAAAUUCCGUCGGAAUCCGGGAGGACCAUCUCCCAAGGCUAAAUACUCCCUAGUGACCGAUAGUGAACCAGUACCGUGAGGGAAAGGUGAAAAGCACCCCGGAAGGGGAGUGAAACAGUUCCUGAAACCGUGUGCCUACAAGUAGUUAGAGCCCGUUAAUGGGUGAUAGCGUGCCUUUUGUAGAAUGAACCGGCGAGUUACGAUUUGUUGCAAGGUUAAGCGGAAAAAGCGGAGCCGUAGCGAAAGCGAGUCUGAAUAGGGCGCAUAAGUAACAGGUCGUAGACCCGAAACCAGGUGAUCUACCCAUGUCCAGGAUGAAGGUAAGGUAAUACUUACUGGAGGUCCGAACCCACGCACGUUGAAAAGUGCGGGGAUGAGGUGUGGGUAGCGGAGAAAUUCCAAUCGAACUUGGAGAUAGCUGGUUCUCUCCGAAAUAGCUUUAGGGCUAGCCUCGAGGUAAAGAGUCAUGGAGGUAGAGCACUGUUUGGACUAGGGGCCCUUCUCGGGUUACCGAAUUCAGAUAAACUCCGAAUGCCAUGUACUUAUACUCGGGAGUCAGACUGCGAGUGAUAAGAUCCGUAGUCGAAAGGGAAACAGCCCAGACCACCAGUUAAGGUCCCCAAAUAUAUGUUAAGUGGAAAAGGAUGUGGGGUUGCUUAGACAACCAGGAUGUUGGCUUAGAAGCAGCCACCAUUGAAAGAGUGCGUAAUAGCUCACUGGUCGAGUGACCCCGCGCCGAAAAUGUACCGGGGCUAAACAUAUUACCGAAACUGUGGAUGAACCUCUUUAGAGGUUCGUGGUAGGAGAGCGUUCUAAGGGCGGUGAAGUCAGACCGGAAGGACUGGUGGAGCGCUUAGAAGUGAGAAUGCCGGUAUGAGUAGCGAAAGAAGGGUGAGAAUCCCUUCCACCGAAUAUCUAAGGUUUCCUGAGGAAGGCUCGUCCGCUCAGGGUUAGUCGGGACCUAAGCCGAGGCCGAUAGGCGUAGGCGAUGGACAACAGGUAGAGAUUCCUGUACCAGUGCUAAUUGUUUAACCGAUGGGGUGACACAGAAGGAUAGGGAAUCGCACGAAUGGAAAUGUGCGUCCAAGCAGUGAGUGUGAGAAGUAGGCAAAUCCGCUUCUCGCGAAGCAUGAGCUGUGAUGGGGAAGGAAAUUAAGUACGGAAGUUCCUGAUUUCACGCUGUCAAGAAAAGCCUCUAGGAAGAGUAGUACUGCCCGUACCGCAAACCGACACAGGUAGAUGAGGAGAGAAUCCUAAGGUGAGCGAGAGAACUCUCGUUAAGGAACUCGGCAAAAUGACCCCGUAACUUCGGGAGAAGGGGUGCUCUAUUAGGGUGCAAGCCCGAGAGAGCCGCAGUGAAUAGGCCCAGGCGACUGUUUAGCAAAAACACAGGUCUCUGCAAAACCGUAAGGUGACGUAUAGGGGCUGACGCCUGCCCGGUGCUGGAAGGUUAAGAGGAGUGCUUAGCUUCGGCGAAGGUACGAAUUGAAGCCCCAGUAAACGGCGGCCGUAACUAUAACGGUCCUAAGGUAGCGAAAUUCCUUGUCGGGUAAGUUCCGACCCGCACGAAAGGCGCAACGAUCUGGGCACUGUCUCAACGAGAGACUCGGUGAAAUUAUAGUACCUGUGAAGAUGCAGGUUACCCGCGACAGGACGGAAAGACCCCGUGGAGCUUUACUGCAACCUGAUAUGGAAUGUUUGUACCGCUUGUACAGGAUAGGUAGGAGCCGAAGAGACGUGUGCGCUAGCAUACGAGGAGGCAAUGGUGGGAUACUACCCUGGCUGUAUGACCAUUCUAACCCGCCACGCUUAGCGCGUGGGGAGACAGUGUCAGGUGGGCAGUUUGACUGGGGCGGUCGCCUCCUAAAGAGUAACGGAGGCGCCCAAAGGUUCCCUCAGAAUGGAUGGAAAUCAUUCGCAGAGUGUAAAGGCACAAGGGAGCUUGACUGCGAGACUGACAAGUCGAGCAGGGACGAAAGUCGGGCUUAGUGAUCCGGUGGUU
This 2435-nucleotide ribosomal RNA is filed under the name Listeria monocytogenes. RNAcentral describes it as "partial 23S ribosomal RNA". It matches the Rfam family "Bacterial large subunit ribosomal RNA", at positions 1 to 2428 of the family's 2925-position model. The record is from RNAcentral. Lineage: Bacteria; Bacillati; Bacillota; Bacilli; Caryophanales; Listeriaceae.